Molecule: unclassified non-coding RNA, 341 nt
Filed under: Hevea brasiliensis (rubber tree)
Lineage: Eukaryota; Viridiplantae; Streptophyta; Magnoliopsida; Malpighiales; Euphorbiaceae
Source: RNAcentral
GUCGUUACUACCAGCCAUUGCAAUGAACCCUCCGAACAAUACAGCUCGCCCAAUCUCCUCAAGGAGGACCUCAUCAUGCCCCUUCAACGCUAUUCUUUUCUCUGUAGUUGCCCCCGUUUUAGCUGCUCUACUCCUUUUCCACCUCGACUCCUUCGACCCAGCUCCUUUCCCUUACCACGAGUUGACUCACCCACUGCCAGAGCCUUCGUUGAAGAAUGGUCGCCUUCUUCAAGGAGCAGAAUUUCUUGGCGUCGGGGAGUUGCCGGGAGCAGAAGAUAUUGCGUAUGACAGCAAAUCGGGAGUCAUUUACACAACUUGUGAAGAUGGGUGGAUAAAGCGAG